Molecule: long non-coding RNA, 6168 nt
Organism: Cavia porcellus (domestic guinea pig)
Lineage: Eukaryota; Metazoa; Chordata; Mammalia; Rodentia; Caviidae
Exons: 2
Source: RefSeq, a predicted model, not a curated record
UGUUUCAGGCAUGUUUGCAAUUAUUCGUUGAAAUAUUUUUGAGGUUUUGAAAACUUAGAUCAUUCUAACAUCUCUUCCUUCAUUGUCUUCGCAUCUGUUCAUUGUCUUUAUCUGAUCAGUUUUAGAUCUUCCCAGAUUUUGGUACCAUGACUUUCAGCUGAAUCACGGACAUGUGCACCUUAUAUCAUGAACCUCUGGAGUUUAAACUUCUGCUUCAAUUUGCUUUCUUAGAUUUGCUCUGAAGUGAUAGAAGACAGUACCUUCUUACUGAUUCCAGGUGGAAGAAUAAGACCAGGUUCUACACUGGGGCUGCACUGACCUUGGGUGGGGAUGCCCUACUACCGCUGGGUAGGGUUAGCGGUCAGGUGCCUGAUGUGGAUUCUGUUGGUGGUUUCCCCAAGGUGGGGGAAGAUGGUUUUGUUUCAUCCAGGUAAUGGUGACAGUCUCUCACCUGACCUCCUUUGACUGCAAGCGUGUGUGAGAGAAGCGCAUGGCUAAUGCUGGUGGGGAAGGAAGUCCAGGCUCUACUAUGGGGACGGUUGAGGUUGUUACUUCUGAGUAACGAUGAAAAUUUUACCUUUGCACUUGGCUUUUUUUUCUCCCCAUUCUGCACUUGGCUUUUUUGACUCCAGAAGAGUGUUGACAUACUUCCUUACUGAUUAGAUACUGGGCGGGAGUCCAGACUAUCCAGUUGGGCUUGCCUUGUAGAAAAGGGUUUGCCCAGUUGUGUAUCUGGGAUUUUUGCCUGGAGUAGAUCCAUUACUGUCUAAGAAUUUUCUGUCUUGCUGUGCUGCUGUGUUUUGGUCUCUGGUCUAGAGAGAAUAAACUUGUGGUUUGUCCUAAGCUUGUUGACAUUUCCACAUUGUUGCUCCCUUCGACUAGAGGUCUGGGAUAAGAGAGGUAAAAAGAAGACCCAAGGAACUCCCCACCUUGUCAUUUCCUGGCUCUCAACUUCUCUUGCCAGCCUUCCAAUUUCUUUUCACCUGUGAGAAUUUUAUAUUUGCUUUGUGUAAAUCAUAUGUUUUUAAUUUUUGCUUAGGGAAAAGAAUAGGGAAACGAUAGUCCAGCAUUCUGAAAGUACAAGUCCUUGACUUAAAUUUAUUUUAAUCAUCUUGUUAUAUGAUCAACCUUUUUUUCAGUGAAUGAUCUAACAAUAUAAAGAUGUAUAAUGAUAACAAUAAAAAGAGUAAGUGAUACUAGUGUGGUUCUUUCUAUGUGCAAGUAUGUAAUAUUUAGUCUCCACAUACAACUCUUUGAAGAUAGCUGUAUUCUGAUACACAAACAGUGGGAAAGAAAAGUGACACAACUCUCAGGAUCUCAGGGAAGAAACAGAGCUGGGAUUCAAAACCAGGAAGUUUAAUUUCAGAAUCCGUGCUGUUUUUUUAAUUCACUGUUGUAUCUUUGUGUGACAGUUGAUUGACUGUGUCAAUUUGAGAACAAAGUCAAACAUAAUUCUGGAUGUGGAAUCCACCCUAUGGAGGAUUAUUUUCAGAGUUUGGGACUAUAGUAGUGGAGUUGUUGCUGUGACUGUACCUGACCAUGUGGUUCAGAAGCCUUUGGAUCUGGCUUAUGGGAAGAGUUUGGAGAGGUUUGGAGAUGCCAGCUGAACAAGCACCUCGGAAUGUCUUAAGGUGUACUUGAUGGGAGAUUUUGGUCAAAGCUCGGAAGAUCAGAGUGCUGAUAAAGAAAGAAAUGUUGCUGGUAAAGAUCAGGAUCUGGAGGGGUCUUUGUUGAGAAGGACCCUAUUGACUCUUAGACUCCAGAUAAAGAGUUACUCCUUUAGAGAAUGUUUGCAUUUUAUUCAUGUCCAGAGACUUUGCCUGAGACUGAAAUUAAGGGCUAGGUAAUCUGGUAGAAGAAAUUUCAAGGCACUUUAAUGUUGAGGCCAUGGCAUGGCUACUGUUGGGGUCUUUUAGCUAGAUUUAUAUUGAGAAUCAAGAGCAAAGAGCCAACAGAAUGAUUUAUUUUUUUUAUUGGUACCAGGGAUCGAAAUCAAGACUGCACAAGGCAAGCACUUAUGCCGCUGAGCUAAAUCCCCAGCCCCUCAACAGAAUGAUUUAAACAUUUUGAGUUUGGUCAGAAAGGAAGCCAUGGUACAGUUGCAAGUUACAGAGAUGGAACAAUGGAGAAACUGAUCAUUGUAAAGUCUAUGAAGAAAAAGUCAAGUAGUUCAGAAGAGGAUAGUAGAAAAGAUGACCUCAGGAUUUCACAACAAUCAGCAGAACGCCACCUUUUACAGCCUCAAAAUUGCAAAAAUAAAAGGCUUUGCUUUAGAAGAAAGCCUCAGAGCACUGUGUUCUAGGAUGGUGGCAUCCUAAGGAAGUUGCUCCUUGGGAUUAGGUUCAUAGGAACUUGACUGCUACAGUCAAGAGAGAAGGAAGCCGGGCUCUUGCUCCAGCUGUUGACAGACUGUGGCAUCAUCCACGUGGUGUUGAUUUUAGGUGCAUGUAGAAUGCAAGCAUUGUGGGAUCAGGAAGGCUUCCACCAUAUUUCAUAUAAAGCUGAGGAAGCCAGCCAAUGUUGCCCUAAGAAGACUGUUUGUCAAAGACUGAGUAUGAAGCCAGAGGUACAAUGAACAUCCAAGAAGUUUGGAAAACCCAGGAAUGUAGACCAUCUGAGGCAAAUUGGAAGGAGGGAGCAGAGCUACCCCAAGAGAGGAACCCUGGGAGUAUAUUCACUGCCAGUGCCAUAAGGCUGCAGCUACCCAAGCACCUAAAAUCAACACUCAUGGUGUGAUGCUAGGAUUAAGGAUUGAGUGCUACCCAUGCUACUGGAUAAAUAGAAGAGACAGAAAGUGGUUUCUGUCUGCUUGCUUGUCACUUGCUUCUGCAGCUUGUUGCCUUUGCCUGCCAUGAAUUCUUUCUCCUCUGCAUUGCUCCUCUCCCUUGUUACCUUGACUUGGAGCCAGCCAGCUAUGGAUUGAGACCUCUACAAACCAUUAGCCAAAUAAACCUUUCCUCCAUAACUUUGGGUGUGAGGUAUUUUGUUUCAACAAUGAGAAAAGGAACUGCAAUACCUUAUUACCAACAUAAUAUGUACCACAAGCUACUAUGAGUGAGCAGCUUCCUCUAUCACACACCCCACUGUGAUCUACUGCGCUGCCACAGGCCCAAAGCAACUAAGCCAAGAAGCCAGAGACUGAAAGCUCUCAAACUCUGUGUGAUGGGUUAAGAACUGGUGGUCAACUUAACACCAGCAGAAUUAAAUCACCAUGGUGCUGAGCAUAGGUGCUCCACCUGAGGAAAGUUGCCAGCAUAAACAGAGACAUGGAGAAGGAGAAAGGAGGCAUUGAGGCAUUGGGGUAUUGUGGGGUUUCCUAUGUGUUGCUGUUUGAACCAUUGGUUCUCCUGGAGAAGCUCUGGUCCUCACAUCAAGCACUGUUUCCUGGCUCCGGAGAGGAAGAUGUGUGCCACUUGGUCUCCAGGAUGAACUCGUCACGCUGGCUUCCUGGCAUGUACUCGACUGUGCUUGUCGUCGGAGGAGCUCAGGACCUUUGUGUCACUGAGAAUGGCUGUGGUGCUUUUCAGGACAGCCCUGGUCUUCAUUAUGAGUGUGACUUCUCAGCUCCAGCGUAGAAUCCUCAACCUACCAGCACAGUUCCUUCUCCCCGCUGGCAUAGACUUCCUAGCUUCCACUGCUGACCUUUGGGCCUUCCCAGCACGGAUCCACAAAACAGACUAGCAAGAAUCCUUCUUGUGGGCUCUAGACCUCUAGUUGGACUUGUGGGAGGCACUGUCAUGAGCUCUGGGUCUUCAUCUGGACUCAUGCAGGGCAUUACUGUGGUUGAUGGCUUGGUUAUAGCUUGGUUGAAUAGUCUAAGUCUUUAGUGUCAUGGAUAGAUUUCCUGCACUUUUUUGUGUUAAACUCUGGUGAUCAUCAUAAAUAACAUUAUAAACUCCAUGUCCUGAUUCUAAUUGUCCUCUGUCCAACCCCUGACUACAACACUGUGAGACAAAUAACCUUUUUCUUCUUAUAGUUAUUUGACUUAGAUGUUUGGUCACAGCAAUGGAACACUGACCUACACAUAGUCUGUCACUUUUUCAUUUUAUUUUUGGAUUGCUGACACUUUUCACAUGAGUGUCUUUGUUAAUGGGGGUCUUUUCAUGAUCUGUGUUCUCCUCUUGCUGAUCCAUUUGCUUAAUGUUGUGCCUACCAUUACCACAUGGUCCUAAAUUGUCUCCUUUUCCAGUAACCCUUGACUUCUGGUCAGUAGUUUCUCUCAUUGUGUUCUUUUUAAAAAUUUUACAUUUUAUUAAGAUUGGAAUAAACUAUACAAAAUUUCCUUCAUCAAAAAUAACAGCAAUAUUUUCUGUGUUACUUCUAGAUGAGCCACACUCAUUUUAUAGGUUUUCCAGGACCCACUGUGCUCUUUUUCAAAAUUAUUUUGGUUAUUUUGGCCCAUCUUAGUUACUUUUUACUCAUUGCUGAGACAAAAUACCUGCCUGAUGCACCAAGUUGGGAAAGGAAAAGUUUAUUUCUUACAGUUUUUGCAGGUUUCAGUCCAUACUCAGUUGGCUCCAAGGCAGGUGGCAUGGUGGGGCCGCAGUUCAUGGCAGCUGCAAACAGCAAGGGGAAACUGGCAAGAGAGAAAGACACACCUUCUUCCUGCCAUUACAUCACAUCCUAGCUCCACCCCUAUGGGGGUGUAGCACUGAUACCAUCAAUCCAAGCUCUAGACAAUGAACCAAUCACAGAUGCAUAAUGUAAAUGCAUGAGGGCUUGGGGCCACUGAUAUAAACCAUGACAGUCCCUUUAAAAAAUUUUGUUAUAAAUUUUAUAUAUCUUAAAAAUUUUAAUAAAUUUUGGAAUAGGUUUGUCAAAUUGCAAACACACUGAAAUUUUCAACUUUAUUGAUAAAUUAAUUUAUAUACAGUGAGCAUCUACUUUGUUUAUACUUUGCAGAAUUUUGAGCAACAUUGCUAUGGCUUGUAUCUAGAAGACUCUACAAAGUCUCAUGUAGGCACAGGUGAGGCUUUUGGUAACUGGUUGGCUCCAGGGUGCAUUAUAUUGGAGUAAGGGAAUACAAUAACUAAAUUGGCCUAGCCAAGUUCUGCGUGUGAAUGAUGGAAGGCUGACCCUAGAUGGGAUGGCAUCAGCUAAUAGGCUUUUAUCCUAGAUGGAAUACAAAUGGACAGAAAAAAAGGCAGGCUUGCUUCUUCCUGUCUCCUGCCUACCCUGCCAUGGACUGUUUUUCUCUGCUAUACCCUUCUGUUAUGCCAUCCUGCCUGGGAGCUAGCCACCUGUGGGCAGAAAUUCCUAUAAAUGGUGUGCUACAACAAAAUUUUCCUUCUUCAAUGUAUAGGUGUAGGGUAUUUUUUUUCCAGCAAUGUAAAAAGUAACUCAAAUAUAUAUGCGUGUGCAUAUAUAUCAAUAUCACCACCAUCUAUCAAUGUAUCUGUCACACCAAAAGAUUUCCUAUGUCCCUCACAGUUAACUCUUUAGUACUGUGCCCAGGCAAUGUCUGAUCUGUCUGUAUGUUAUAUAGACAUAAGGAUUUCUCUAGUAUUUUAUAUACAUUGAAUAAUAUUAAACUUGUCCUUUUAUGUCUGGCUUCUUUUGCUCAACAUAAUCUUCUAGAGAUUCAACCACAUUAACAUGUGUAUCAGUUGUUCUCAUUUUAAUGCUAAGCAACAGUUCAGUACAUAGAUUCACCAAAGUUUGCUUUUUCAAUCAUCAGGCAAUGGGAAUUAGGACUUGCAAAUUUGACAAGAAGUAUGAAGACUCCUGCUAUGAAUAUUAAUAAAAGAAUCAUGUGAACAUAUGCAUUUAUCUCUCUUAGACAAACUAUUCUAAGAAAGAUAUUUAUAUGAAUUUCAUGGUAAGUGUAUGUUCAACGCUUUAGGAAACUGCCAAGAUAUUCCCUAUAGUCCCAUAGUAGGACUAUGCAUUCUCUAAAAUAUUAGUGUGACUCUACAUCUUCUAAAAUAUUUGUGUGAUUAUACAUUUCCACUACCAAUAAAUGAUAGAGUUGCUUCAGUUCCUUGUCAGUAGUUUAGUAGUGUUUAUCCUUUCUCGAAUUCCCGGCAGUCUUUCUGCCUUAGCCUCUUGACUGUCCCACCAUACCUUCAUAAGUUUAGCCUUCAAAAGGCAGGUAGUGGUACUCUUUUUGUAAUUCUUUACUUGUAAUUUGUAUUUCUCUAGUGAUUAAAGAGACUAUUUUUCAUGUGA